AGCAGUCGCCGCGGUAAUACGUAGGUCCCGAGCGUUGUCCGGAUUUAUUGGGCGUAAAGCGAGCGCAGGCGGUUAGAUAAGUCUGAAGUGAAAGGCAGUGGCUCAACCAUUGUAGGCUUUGGAAACUGUUUAACUUGAGUGCAGAAGGGGAGAGUGGAAUUCCAUGUGUAGCGGUGAAAUGCGUAGAUAUAUGGAGGAACACCGGUGGCGAAAGCGGCUCUCUGGUCUGUAACUGACGCUGAGGCUCGAAAGCGUGGGGAGCGAACAGGAUUAGAUACCCCUGUAGUCCCUGUCUCUUAUACA
Molecule: ribosomal RNA, 303 nt
Filed under: uncultured bacterium
Lineage: Bacteria
Description: partial 16S ribosomal RNA
Rfam family: Bacterial small subunit ribosomal RNA
Source: RNAcentral